AACGAACGCUGGCGGCGUGCUUAACACAUGCAAGUCGAACGGAACGGCCCUGCUUUUGUGGGGAGCUCGAGUGGCGAACGGGUGAGUAACACGUGAGUACCCUGCACCUGACUUUGGGGUAACUUCAGGAAACUGGGGCUAAUCCCAGAUAGGAGCUCCUGCUGCAUGGUGGGGGUUGGUAAGUUUCGGCGGUUGGGGAUGGACUCGCGGCCUAUCAGCUUGUUGGUGGGGUGGUGGCUUACCAAGGCCUUGAAGGGUAGCCUGCCUGAGAGGGUGACAUGCCACAUUGGGACUGGAAUGCGGCCCAGACUCCUACGGGAGGCAACGGUGGAGUAGAGUGCACAAUGGGCGGAAGCCUGAUGCAGCAACGCCGCGUGGGGUAUGACGUCCAGCGGUUAGUAAACCACAUUCGCCUUUGACGAGACGUUAGUGACGGUAAUGGGUAAAGAAGCACCGGCUAACUACGUG
Molecule: ribosomal RNA, 468 nt
Filed under: uncultured bacterium
Lineage: Bacteria
Description: partial 16S ribosomal RNA
Rfam family: Bacterial small subunit ribosomal RNA
Source: RNAcentral